RNAcentral lists this ribosomal RNA (465 nucleotides) under Vreelandella stevensii. RNAcentral describes it as "partial 16S ribosomal RNA". It matches the Rfam family "Bacterial small subunit ribosomal RNA", at positions 338 to 795 of the family's 1533-position model. Lineage: Bacteria; Pseudomonadati; Pseudomonadota; Gammaproteobacteria; Oceanospirillales; Halomonadaceae. The record is from RNAcentral.
CCUACGGGGGGCUGCAGUGGGGAAUAUUGGACAAUGGGGGGAACCCUGAUCCAGCCAUGCCGCGUGUGUGAAGAAGGCCCUCGGGUUGUAAAGCACUUUCAGUGAGGAAGAACGCCUGGUGGUUAAUACCCAUCAGGAAAGACAUCACUCACAGAAGAAGCACCGGCUAACUCCGUGCCAGCAGCCGCGGUAAUACGGAGGGUGCGAGCGUUAAUCGGAAUUACUGGGCGUAAAGCGCGCGUAGGUGGCUUGAUAAGCCGGUUGUGAAAGCCCCGGGCUCAACCUGGGAACGGCAUCCGGAACUGUCAAGCUAGAGUGCAGGAGAGGAAGGUGGAAUUCCCGGUGUAGCGGUGAAAUGCGUAGAGAUCGGGAGGAAUACCAGUGGCGAAGGCGGCCUUCUGGACUGACACUGACACUGAGGUGCGAAAGCGUGGGUAGCAAACAGGAUUAGAUACCCGGGUAGUC